This is a non-coding RNA of Vicia faba (fava bean), 213 nucleotides long. The record is from the annotation of a GenBank genome assembly. Lineage: Eukaryota; Viridiplantae; Streptophyta; Magnoliopsida; Fabales; Fabaceae.
AUGUGUGUCACGGUUCAAGUUUGCUUAGCAUAUAAAUUUCAAUAUUCUUUAGAACCAAUUCAAAAUAUGAGGGCUUUUCGUGUUAUCAUUCGUUACACAUUCAAAGUUUCAAAACAGUUUCAUUCACAAUUGUCCAUGGAAGCCUUGAACAAAAAAAAGAAUAUUACAAAAGCAAAAGCAUGGCUAGUUCUAAGUUCUAAGCCUAAAACAUAA